This is a non-coding RNA of Microcebus murinus (gray mouse lemur), 1077 nucleotides long. The record is from RefSeq and is a predicted model, not a curated record. NCBI's taxonomy places the organism in Eukaryota, Metazoa, Chordata, Mammalia, Primates, Cheirogaleidae.
CUGCCAUAUGAAGCCAGAGCCCCUCUUUCAUGACCUACAGCAGUGUUAAGACAGUAUCGGUGAUCCUCAUCUCUUUUAAACUCCAUCAUUCAGAAGAAAUUGAAAGAAAACCUACCUACAAUCAGGCCCCUUAGGCCUGCUGACUUGCCAGUGCGGCCUUGAAGAUGGAUUAUAAAUUAUGAAGCAGCUAAGAAGUGGUGGGAACAGCAAUCAUCUUAGCCACUGAUGGAGAAACAAAUACAUGUAUUCAAAAUAAGCUUAUAGUAACAUCAAGGUCACCCUCUUAAAAGCUUUUUGCACCCUUAAGUGGGAGGAAAAGGCGUAGAGACACUGCCUACAUCACUGAGUAUAUCCAGGAAACUGUGAGGUGAAAACCAGGCUGAAGUAACUUACAGGGGGAAUGUGGUCUUCCAAUCUCCUAACAGGGUGGCCUAUACACAUUUUGAGCCUUACAAAAUAAGGGCAAAGGCAGAGGAAGGCAGUCAUGGGAAUGAAUCAGAAACUCCAAUGGCACAAUCAUGAAAUAUUCAAAGAUGCAGUGAAGACAGGUAGAUUCGCACCAAUUGCGAACUGGACCUUCGUGUGCUACAGAAAAAAGUGACCCUCAGAGGGAUGCCUGGAAACACCUGGAGUACCCAAGGCUGGCCUGCAUAUAAGUGGCAGAAGUUAGAGGUGGCCCUUGAGUGUGUCCUGUUGGCAGUCUCGCUGGCUUCUCAGUUGCUAGAAGAACCAAAAGAGUUUCAAGGAUUCCUGAGGAUACAGGUUUAUUUCUUUGAGUAUUGAUGUUCCAUGGUGGUUCUGGGCUACCUAAGCCCUAGAUUUGAUCCAUGUUCCCAAGGCUAGUGAUGGUCCAGACGUAGCAAGUCUUGGAUGAUGGCAAAAGAUUUUUUUCAGAUUUAUCUGACUCUAGGUGCAAUGAACAGUUAAAUUCAUAUUGCCCUUGAAUUUAACAGUGAGUCUAAAGGCCUGCACUAUUAUGUCUUUUGACCUUAUAACUGUUUCUAUGUAAAUAUUUCAUUAAUACUAAAAAAAGGUAAGAGGCCAGGGAAAAGCUUAAAAAGUUGAAAUUAUGGUGAA